UAGAAAGUCUGCCUGGUGGCUUGAGAUCAUCGCUGUCGAAGGAUGUUAUGGAGACAAUCCACUUAGAAGCUUGGCUGCUGUGCUGGAUUUAAUUGUUUGGGGUUUUUUUUUUUUCUUCUUCUUUUCCCUGCUCUGCUCAUCUCCCCAUCAGCAAGCUGGGGAAUACGUGUGGGAAACAAAUCAGCAGACAGACAGUGGCAUGUGAAGCGAUUCUCCCCGCUGGCACAGAUGCGAUUGCGAAGCAGCAACACAAGUGGGGAUUUGAAGGCCAAAGAUAACUUGCCGCUUUCUUGCUUGUAAGCCCUAAAAUGGUUGGGAGGAAGGAGCCUGCUAGUUUGUGAGCGAUGUUGGAUGCUGCAUGGCUGCGUCUCUAUCUAAUCGCUUUCUUCAGCGUUCGUUAAGUAGUGGGGACAGGCCGGCGUUACAGCUUGUGAACUGGUGCUUUACUGGUGGGCUGGCGCAGGUGUUGGUGUAAAAGGCUGUUGUCUCCAAGAUGAGACAAGCCCUGAAAUGUCUGUAGAUAUUCUUUUUUGUUGUUUUUUCUCCCCUUUCAGCUCUACUUGGGUUUGCUGUGUGCAUGCUGGGCAAGAAGGAAGCGAGAUUCUCCCCUAAACCUUGCCGCGCUCUGUUGCGGGAGCGAGCCGACACCUGGUGUAAUGGAUGUACGGGAGGAGGUGACCCUGGACGGCGAGAUAUGUGCAGUGGGGCUGGUCUCUGUGAACACCAAGGAGAUCUGCUGGUAGAAGGGCCAGCCAAGAGCAAGCGUCGGACGGUGAGGAUGGCGUACCCGCUUCGACACCAUGAUCUCCAGUUCCCCAGAGCACGCAGAGCACUCCGCUGCUUCCUUGCUUCCCUCCUGGCUCCUGUACGAGCCAGCGGGUGUUCGGGCCCCCCCCCCCCCGCCUAGUGUUAACUGGCUUUAGCUGGGAGGGGGGUCGCGGCUCCUUGUUGGUACCUACCAGUCCUCGGGAGACGGUGAGCACAAAAGCUGGGCGAGGAGGGAUCCAGGGCAGGUAUCGUACGGCUUUGAAGCGGCGAGCUCCUGCGGAGCUUUGGGGUAGGGCGGUCGUUGUCAUGCCAUUUUCCCCACUCUCUUCCAGCAGGAAUUGCACCGAGUCCUCGCUCUGUGCAAGAGAAAUUCUCCAGACGAGGUUAUCGAACCCUGGAGGCGGAUUUAAGGGCGCUGGCCUGUCUCUGACAAGGGGAAGGUGACGCUGGAAUCAGAGCUGAGCCCGUCCAUUAACGUUCUUGGCUCUUUUCCCAACCGCUUCUUCCAUAUCCCCUUUCCCAAACCGGAGCCCUCAAGGCUGCGAACCAAACAAGGCUCCUCGUGAGAUACGGGCCCGGUAAACGCGUAUCCAAAGCGAUGCCAAGAGCAAAUGCGGUGGUUUUGUCUCCGCUCGCCUCCCUCGUGCAUCGGGUGAUGCCGCAGAAGGCGCGCGGCCAUCCCUCGAGUUGGGUGACGUCGUGAGCUGCAGCGGUGGGAGGAAGGAGCCCUUCAUCACGCGUUUGCUCAGCACAGAGCGAGUGCAGACUUCCCAGCUCAGCGCUGCGACCUGCUGCUUAUCCUCUCCAUGCAAGACUCCCUGCACGGAUCUCGGCUCCGACACCGCCCCGCAGGACCCCCAGGACGGAUUUAUGGUGUCUUACCGGUGACAAGGGCUGAGCUACUCUGGUCGGGAGCAGUUUUGGGAGGGGGGGAGCAGCAGUUUCGGGGCUUCGACUGACUUUUCUCUGUCCCCGUUUCUGUUUUAGCGAUGCCAUCGAGCCUGGUCUGUGCUGCGGGAAGCAGAGAGCUCUUCUGAGCGCAGGACUCGUCUGUGCCCACCCCUGGAGCCCACCCCAGCGAUGAGACAGGAGUCCGGACUCCUGUCCAGAGAUGAGGAGGAUCCGGACAGAGGUAGGAAAAGCUGCAGGAAUGGGGGGAGGGAAGAACCCCUGGCAGCAGGGGCUUUGGACACAGAAGCAGCAGAGAGCUCCGGAGCUGCGAGUUGCGCCUACGGCCACUUUCUUGCUUCUGCUGGGGAAAACGGAACGCGGAGCCUGGCUGAAUUUGGGGGAGAAAGGCAGCCGUGAGCAGUGUGGGGCCCGCGGGCAGCUGCACACGUGCGCAGUCUGGGACGUGCCUUAGCCGGAGGUGUCUUCCCCCAUCCUAGAUGCGGCCAGCCCUUGGGUUGGAGAGCAGACUCGCUGCAGCCAGCCAGCUCCUAGCGCUGAGGUGCUUGGAGGCAGAGGUGUCCUUUACUGGACCAUCUGCUUCUCUGCAGCGAGCCCUGAGGCACCCACCGCCCUCCUGCGAGCCCUCGCAGCCCGGCUUCUGCUGCGCCCUGGACCCUACGCCAGCCACGGCCGCCUCCGCAGCGCGCAGGCGAGAGCGCAAAGCCAUGCAAGUCCCGUCUCCAGCAGGAAGACGCUGGCAGGAGCUGAGCAGCCCCGUGCUGCACAGAACAGCCGCGCCAUGUGGCCGCCCUGGACUUUGUUUGGAUGCUGGCAACUAUUUGAGGGGUUUUU
Molecule: long non-coding RNA, 2511 nt
Organism: Chroicocephalus ridibundus (black-headed gull)
Lineage: Eukaryota; Metazoa; Chordata; Aves; Charadriiformes; Laridae
Exons: 3
Source: RefSeq, a predicted model, not a curated record